RNAcentral lists this ribosomal RNA (737 nucleotides) under uncultured bacterium. Its description in RNAcentral is "bacterial SSU rRNA". It matches the Rfam family "Bacterial small subunit ribosomal RNA", at positions 8 to 796 of the family's 1533-position model. The record is from RNAcentral.
AGAGUUUGAUCCUGGCUCAGAACGAACGCUGGCGGCAGGCCUAACACAUGCAAGUCGAGCGCCCGCAAGGGAGCGGCAGACGGGUGAGUAACGCGUGGGAACGUGCCCUUUGGUUCGGAAUAUUCCCGGGAAACUGGGAGCAAAACCGGAUAAGCCCUUCGGGGGAAAGUUUACGCCAAAGGAUCGGCCCGCGUUAGAUUAGGUAGUUGGUGGGGUAACGGCCUACCAAGCCUACGAUCUAUAGCUGAUCUGAGAGGAUGAUCAGCCACACUGGGACUGAGACACGGCCCAGACUCCUACGGGAGGCAGCAGUGGGGAAUCUUGGACAAUGGGCGCAAGCCUGAUCCAGCCAUGCCGCGUGGAUGACUGAAGGCCCUAGGGUUGUAAAGUCCUUUCGACGGGGACGAUAAUGACGGUACCCGUAGAAGAAGCCCCGGCUAACUUCGUGCCAGCAGCCGCGGUAAUACGAAGGGGGCUAGCGUUGUUCGGAUUUACUGGGCGUAAAGGGCGCGUAGGCGGAUUUUUAAGUCGGGGGUGAAAUCCCGGAGCUCAACUCCGGAACUGCCUUCGAUACUGGAAGUCUGGAGCACGGUAGAGGUGAGUGGAAUUCCGAGUGUAGAGGUGAAAUUCGUAGAUAUUCGGAGGAACACCAAUGGCGAAGGCGGCUCACUGGACCGUUGCUGACGCUGAGGCGCGAAAGCGUGGGGAGCAAACGGGAUUAGAUACCCUGGUAGUCC